RNAcentral lists this ribosomal RNA (497 nucleotides) under uncultured bacterium. Its description in RNAcentral is "partial 16S ribosomal RNA". It matches the Rfam family "Bacterial small subunit ribosomal RNA", at positions 28 to 507 of the family's 1533-position model. The record is from RNAcentral.
GAUGAACGCUGGCGGCGUGCCUAAUACAUGCAAGUCGAGCGAACAGAUGAGGAGCUUGCUCCUCUGACGUUAGCGGCGGACGGGUGAGUAACACGUGGAUAACCUACCUAUAAGACUGGGAUAACUUCGGGAAACCGGAGCUAAUACCGGAUAAUAUAUUGAACCGCAUGGUUCAAUAGUGAAAGACGGUUUUGCUGUCACUUAUAGAUGGAUCCGCGCCGCAUUAGCUAGUUGGUAAGGUAACGGCUUACCAAGGCAACGAUGCGUAGCCGACCUGAGAGGGUGACCGCCCACACUGGAACUGAGACACGGUCCAGACUCCUACGGGAGGCAGCAGUAGGGAAUCUUCCGCAAUGGGCGAAAGCCUGACGGAGCAACGCCGCGUGAGUGAUGAAGGUCUUCGGAUCGUAAAACUCUGUUAUUAGGGAAGAACAAAUGUGUAAGUAACUAUGCACGUCUUGACGGUACCUAAUCAGAAAGCCACGGCUAACUACGUG